Molecule: ribosomal RNA, 493 nt
Filed under: uncultured bacterium
Lineage: Bacteria
Description: bacterial SSU rRNA
Rfam family: Bacterial small subunit ribosomal RNA
Source: RNAcentral
GAUGAACGCUAGCUACAGGCUUAACACAUGCAAGUCGAGGGGAAACGAUAUUGGAAGCUUGCUUCCGAUAGGCGUCGACCGGCGCACGGGUGAGUAACGCGUAUCCAACCUGCCCGUCACUUGGGAAUAACCUUGCGAAAGUAAGACUAAUGCCCAAUGACAUUUAUAGAAGGCAUCUGAAAUGAAUUAAAGAUUUAUCGGUGAUGGAUGGGGAUGCGUCUGAUUAGCUUGUUGGCGGGGUAACGGCCCACCAAGGCGACGAUCAGUAGGGGUUCUGAGAGGAAGGUCCCCCACAUUGGAACUGAGACACGGUCCAAAACUCCUACGGGAGGCAGCAGUGAGGAAUAUUGGUCAAUGGGCGAGAGCCUGAACCAGCCAAGUAGCGUGCAGGAAGACGGCUCUAUGGGUUGUAAACUGCUUUUAUAGGGGAAUAAAGUGAGCCACGUGUGGUUUUUUGCAUGUACCCUAUGAAUAAGGACCGGCUAAUUCCGUG